CAUGACGUUGCCAACUUUCAUUUCAUUAUAUUUGCAUUAAUGUAUACAUGCAAAUGACAAGUUUUCGUUAAAUCAAUUAUCGCUAAACACGAGAGUUUUUAUUUAAUUUGCAUUUGCAAACAUGCUGUUGUAGCCAUUUAAAGUCGGCUUGUUUAGUUUAUCAUGACGACUAGCAGCUCGCCCAUAAUUUAUCUUCGUGUUCUCAGAUGUGAAAAAAAAUUAUUUCAUUUUGAAUAUGCCGGAAUAUCCGUGAAACAGGUUCAACUGAUUCCUUAUAUGAAGGCGUAGUGAUGGCAACAGUAGAUGUCGUAAGUGCAGUUUCAAAACACGUUGACACGCAUAUAGGACACAUCCGUUCGUGACGAUAGAUAUUGGAUCAACACUCUCGGUGACUUGUAGACAUUUGAAUUUGAUCUCUGAACAUCCGUCGGAGAAACAUCACCGCAGUGAAAUCAGCAACGUCUAAGAUUGGAUCUCGUAUACAUACAUAAAUACGAAGAAUUCUUGUACGCAUCUUUCUCGCCUGAAGACGGGACGGCACUUGAUACAAAGAUAUGAAGGAAAAUAGAAUGGAUAUUUCGGUUUUGGCUCUAAUCACCUUGGUUGGGGUUGCUUAUGCAGCAAACGAAACAAUAAAAUCUGGGAAUAUGGAAGACCUGUACCCGAAAUCAUUCAAAUUAGUAGGAGAAGGAGACUUG
RNAcentral lists this long non-coding RNA (698 nucleotides) under Dendronephthya gigantea. RNAcentral's name for it is "uncharacterized LOC114518523, transcript variant X1". Lineage: Eukaryota; Metazoa; Cnidaria; Anthozoa; Malacalcyonacea; Nephtheidae. The record is from RNAcentral.